Siniperca chuatsi (mandarin fish) is the source of this 236-nucleotide long non-coding RNA. RefSeq lists it as uncharacterized. NCBI's taxonomy places the organism in Eukaryota, Metazoa, Chordata, Actinopteri, Centrarchiformes, Sinipercidae. The record is from RefSeq and is a predicted model, not a curated record. The transcript has 3 exons.
CAUGUAUCUCUCAUCGGAGUCCUCUGGCUAAUUGCAUCAUUCUAAUGGUCUUUUUCAUGAUCAUACUCUGUGGGUUAACCGGUGCAGUUUUGUCCGCUGACUGACAAUGGCCACAGGCUCUCAAGCAGCACCAUGCAUACCCAAAGCAGAGACGGGAAAAAGCCUCUUUCAAUUCCCAGGAUGCAAAGAGAGCAAGGGGAGUUUUUCAAAUGAUGAGCUCUUGCAAAUUGAUGACU